CCGGACCCCACGCCGCGGGAGCUUGGGGGUUGCGGUCUUCUCUUCCUCCGACCUCACCUUCGAUGCGGAAGCGCAGGGGCAGCCCCUACCCUCGUGACUACAAGGGAAAACGUGCGGUGCUCACGAGAGAGCCUUUAUGGGAUUUUUAAAAAAUGGGGAUUGUGGGAAAAUGGCUCCAGCAGUCACAGUUUUUCAGUUUCUCACAAUCCCAUAAAAACAGAGCAACCAGGUAACAAAACUAAAGCAUGGGCAACAUUUACAGACCACUGGAUGGUGAAGAAUUCCCAUGAACCCCUGGUUCACACUGUAAGGACACACUACUCAGCAUGGGCAACAUUUACAGACUACUGGAUGGUGAAGAAUUCCCAUGAACCCCUGGUUCACACUGUAAGGACAGACUACUCAGCAUGGGCAACAUUUACAGACCACUGGAUGAUGAAGAAUUCCCAUGAACUCCUGGUUCCAACUGUAAGGACACACUACUCAGCUGUAGCCUGAAGCCGCCUCCUUACAUACUGUAAGUUUAGCCUAUAGGUUUCUCCAUACGUAGUGAACAGUCAUCUAAUUGGAUGUGUGGACACUGUAACCUACUCUUGAAUCAGUCACAGGCAGCAGCACUUCAAACUCUGUUUCAAUAAGCCAGACACGAGCUGUAGCCACCCUGCUGUUUGCAGGCCUCACCUCUGCCUUCUGUGCCUCACUCCCUUUUCUGUCCGUAAGUCUUUGGCCACACAGUGGCACUGGAGUCUCUCUGAG
RNAcentral lists this long non-coding RNA (756 nucleotides) under Homo sapiens (human). RNAcentral describes it as "non-protein coding lnc-PQLC1-104:16". The record is from RNAcentral. Lineage: Eukaryota; Metazoa; Chordata; Mammalia; Primates; Hominidae.